AGCGUUGUUCGGAAUUACUGGGCGUAAAGCGCGCGUAGGCGGUUUUUUAAGUCAGAGGUGAAAGCCCGGGGCUCAACCCCGGAAUAGCCUUUGAAACUGGAGUGCUAGAAUCACGGAGAGGUGGGUGGAAUUCCGAGUGUAG
Molecule: ribosomal RNA, 142 nt
Filed under: uncultured Alphaproteobacteria bacterium
Lineage: Bacteria; Pseudomonadati; Pseudomonadota; Alphaproteobacteria
Description: partial 16S ribosomal RNA
Rfam family: Bacterial small subunit ribosomal RNA
Source: RNAcentral